RNAcentral lists this small RNA (408 nucleotides) under Pan troglodytes (chimpanzee). RNAcentral's name for it is "retained intron". The record is from RNAcentral. Lineage: Eukaryota; Metazoa; Chordata; Mammalia; Primates; Hominidae.
GCAGCAAAGAGACAGGAUCACCAUCCUCUUUCGCCCUCGGUUGCUUUCUGUUGAGUUGGCCCCAGCAGCCAAUGAGGGCAGGUGAUGCUAGGCCGUGGCCUGGGUACCCAGCAGCCAUCACAGCAUGUCUUUCCCUCACCAGGAUGUGUUCGAAAUGCGCUUUGCCAAGAUGCCGGACGAGCCUGAGGAGCCAGUGGUGGCCGUGUCCUCCCCGGCAGUGCCCCCUCCCACCAAGGUUGUGGCCCCGCCCUCAUCCAGCGACAGCAGCAGCGAUAGCUCCUCGGACAGUGACAGUUCGACUGAUGACUCUGAGGAGGAGCGAGCCCAGCGGCUGGCUGAGCUCCAGGAGCAGCUCAAAGCCGUGCACGAGCAGCUUGCAGCCCUCUCUCAGCCCCAGCAGAACAAACC